GACGAACGCUGGCGGCGUGCCUAAUACAUGCAAGUAGAACGCUGAAGCGAGGAGCUUGCUCUUCUUGGAUGAGUUGCGAACGGGUGAGUAACGCGUAGGUAACCUGCCUUGUAGCGGGGGAUAACUAUUGGAAACGAUAGCUAAUACCGCAUAACAAUGGAUGACACAUGUCAUUUAUUUGAAAGGGGCAAUUGCUCCACUACAAGAUGGACCUGCGUUGUAUUAGCUAGUAGGUGAGGUAAUGGCUCACCUAGGCGACGAUACAUAGCCGACCUGAGAGGGUGAUCGGCCACACUGGGACUGAGACACGGCCCAGACUCCUACGGGAGGCAGCAGUAGGGAAUCUUCGGCAAUGGGGGCAACCCUGACCGAGCAACGCCGCGUGAGUGAAGAAGGUUGUCGGAUCGUAAAGCUCUGUUGUAAGUCAAGAACGGGUGUGAGAGUGGAAAGUUCACACUGUGACGGUAGCUGACCAGAAAGGGACGGCUAACUACGUG
RNAcentral lists this ribosomal RNA (497 nucleotides) under uncultured bacterium. RNAcentral's name for it is "partial 16S ribosomal RNA". It matches the Rfam family "Bacterial small subunit ribosomal RNA", at positions 28 to 507 of the family's 1533-position model. The record is from RNAcentral.